CUACAAACCCGUGCUGCCGCUGCUCCUGUACAGGAGUGGAGGAAAGUCCGGACAGCACAGAGCAACGCACCACCUAACGGGUGGGAUCCCGGGCAACCGGGAUACAGAUAGCGCCACAGAAAAUAACCGCCGUAAAAGGUAAGGGUGAAAAUGUACGGUAAGAGCGUACGUUCUGUAGUGGUAACACUAUGGGAGGGCAAGCCUUGCGUGAUGAAAUGCCCAAUAGGCAAGCGAUUGAGGGCUGCUCGUCCGAUGCUUGCGGGUAGGCAGAUAGAGUGUUGCAGCGAUGUAACGCCCAGAUAAAUGGCAGCAGUCCUGCAGCAAUGCAGGAAUACAAAAUCCGGCUUACAGGGUUUGUAGUUUU
Molecule: RNase P RNA, 364 nt
Filed under: Taibaiella chishuiensis
Lineage: Bacteria; Pseudomonadati; Bacteroidota; Chitinophagia; Chitinophagales; Chitinophagaceae
Description: Bacterial RNase P class A
Rfam family: Bacterial RNase P class A
About the family: Ribonuclease P (RNase P) is a ubiquitous endoribonuclease, found in archaea, bacteria and eukarya as well as chloroplasts and mitochondria. Its best characterised activity is the generation of mature 5'-ends of tRNAs by cleaving the 5'-leader elements of precursor-tRNAs. Cellular RNase Ps are ribonucleoproteins.
Source: Rfam by way of RNAcentral